Ornithodoros turicata is the source of this 334-nucleotide long non-coding RNA. RefSeq lists it as uncharacterized. The transcript has 3 exons. The record is from RefSeq and is a predicted model, not a curated record. NCBI's taxonomy places the organism in Eukaryota, Metazoa, Arthropoda, Arachnida, Ixodida, Argasidae.
GGACCACUCAAGAAGACGCCGCCGAAGAAAAAGUGACGCCAAACGUCAGACAGUGAGGCUAAAUAGCCGACGUUUCGUAGAAGGAUGAAGUGUUCAACCUGUGAGCAGCACACCAGAGCACCCAGUGACUUCUUCCUCUUUCCUCGGAUGAAGGAACCACUGCGUGGCAGGAAUUUUCAGAAUGACGACGAGGUGAUUUUCGAGGUGGACCUUUACCUGAACAGCCAAAAUGCAGAUUUGUACAACCAAGGUCUCCGCCAAGUCAUCCAUCGUUCGGAAAAAUGUGUCGCAUUGAAGGGUGAAUAUGUAGAUAAGGAUUAACACCAUUACCAAG